GAUGAACGCUGGCGGCGUGCCUAAUACAUGCAAGUCGAGCGAACUUUUGGGAGCUUGCUCCCAAAAGUUAGCGGCGGACGGGUGAGUAACACGUGGGUAACCUGCCUGUAAGACUGGGAUAACUUCGGGAAACCGGAGCUAAUACCGGAUAACAUUUAUUACAACAUGGCCUUCAAUUAAAAGGUGGCUUUUAGCUACCACUUAUAGAUGGACCCGCGGCGCAUUAGCUAGUUGGUGAGGUAACGGCUCACCAAGGCGACGAUGCGUAGCCGACCUGAGAGGGGGAUUCGCCACACUGGGAAUGGGACACGGCCCAGACUCCUACGGGAGGCAGCAGGAGGGAAUCUUCCGCAAUGGAGCGAAGUCUGGCGGGGCAACGCCGGGUGAGCGAAGAAGGCCUUCGGGUCGGAAAGCUCUGUUGUUAGGGAAGAACAAGUAGCGUACGAAUAGAGCGGUGCCUUGACGGUACCUAACCAGAAAGCCACGGCUAACUACGUG
This 498-nucleotide ribosomal RNA is filed under the name uncultured bacterium. RNAcentral describes it as "partial 16S ribosomal RNA". It matches the Rfam family "Bacterial small subunit ribosomal RNA", at positions 28 to 507 of the family's 1533-position model. The record is from RNAcentral.